CCUACGGGAGGCAGCAGUGGGGGAUAUUGCACAAUGGGGGGAACCCUGAUGCAGCGACGCCGCGUGGGUGAAGGAGUAUUUCGGUAUGUAAAGCCCUAUCGGCAGGGAAGAAAUUGGACGGUACCUGACUAAGAAGCCCCGGCUAACUACGUGCCAGCAGCCGCGGUAAUACGUAGGGGGCAAGCGUUAUCCGGAUUCACUGGGUGUAAAGGGAGCGUAGACGGCCAGGCAAGCCUGGAGUGAAAGCCCGGGGCCCAACCCCGGGACUGCUCUGGGAACUGUCCGGCUGGAGGGCGGGGGGGGCAGGCGGAAUUCCUGGUGUAGCGGUGAAAGGCGUAGAUAUCAGGAGGAACACCGGCGGCGAAGGCGGCCUGCUGGACCGCGACUGACGUUGAGGCUCGAAAGCGUGGGGAGCGAACAGGAUUAGAUACCUGUGUAGUC
This 441-nucleotide ribosomal RNA is filed under the name uncultured bacterium. RNAcentral describes it as "partial 16S ribosomal RNA". It matches the Rfam family "Bacterial small subunit ribosomal RNA", at positions 338 to 795 of the family's 1533-position model. The record is from RNAcentral.